RNAcentral lists this ribosomal RNA (440 nucleotides) under uncultured bacterium. Its description in RNAcentral is "bacterial SSU rRNA". It matches the Rfam family "Bacterial small subunit ribosomal RNA", at positions 28 to 507 of the family's 1533-position model. The record is from RNAcentral.
GAUGAACGCUGGCGGUAUGCCUAACACAUGCAAGUCGUACGAGGGUUUUUAAACUCUAGUGGCGGACGGGUGAGUAACACGUGAGAAUUUGCCUUUAGGAGGGGGAUAACAAUCGGAAACGAAUGCUAAUACCCCAUAUGCUUUUGAGUGGAAUGGAUUUAUCCGCCUAAAGAGAAGCUCGCGGCUGAUUAGCUUGUUGGUAAGGUAAGAGCUUACCAAGGCGACGAUCAGUAUCUGGUUUGAGAGGACGAUCAGACACACUGGAACUGAGACACGGUCCAGACUCCUACGGGAGGCAGCAGUGGGGAAUUUUCCGCAAUGGGCGAAAGCCUGACGGAGCAAUACCGCGUGAGGGAAGACUGCCUAUGGGUUGUAAACCUCUUUUUCAGGGAGGAAUAAAAUGACGUGUACCUGAAGAAUAAGCAUCGGCUAACUCCGUG